AGGUUGAUUCUAUUCUUCAGGUUUUUAUCCAUCCCCUUUAACAUUGAUUUUCAAGUAGUGCAUUGUUUGCCAUGCUUGUUAAUGUUAUCAACAACCUAAUUCAAGAGGAGAGGUCAUAAAUUAAAAUUACAAGUGAGGGUGGGGAAGAUAGUUCUUAAGGGUUUAUCUCUUAAACUUGAUUUACAUAUAUUGUUGCUCCAUAUAUUUUAUUUCGUUAACAUUUAAGUCCUUGUAAAUGUUAUGUAAUGUAUUUCUAUUCAACUUGUUGCACUUUUGCAAUGCAGUCCUUGAACAAUGAUUUUCAAGCAAUCAAGUUCUUGCCUCCUAAUCACCUGAACUAUUCUUCAGUGUUGAGUUGAGGCUAAGAUGUAACUAU
This 376-nucleotide unclassified non-coding RNA is filed under the name Hevea brasiliensis (rubber tree). The record is from RNAcentral. Lineage: Eukaryota; Viridiplantae; Streptophyta; Magnoliopsida; Malpighiales; Euphorbiaceae.